This 253-nucleotide ribosomal RNA is filed under the name uncultured bacterium. Its description in RNAcentral is "partial 16S ribosomal RNA". It matches the Rfam family "Bacterial small subunit ribosomal RNA", at positions 524 to 776 of the family's 1533-position model. The record is from RNAcentral.
UACGGAGGGUGCAAGCGUUAAUCGGAAUUACUGGGCGUAAAGCGUGCGCAGGCGGUUUGUUAAGUCCGUUGUGAAAGCCCCGAGCUCAACUUGGGAAUUGCAGUGGAUACUGGCAGGCUGGAGUACGGUAGAGGAAGGUGGAAUUCCCGGUGUAGCAGUGAAAUGCGUAGAUAUCGGGAGGAACACCAGUGGCGAAGGCGGCCUUCUGGACCAGUACUGACACUGAAAAGCGAAAGCCAGGGGAGCAAACGGG